CGUACACUCCUACGGGAGGCAGCAGUGGGGAAUAUUGGACAAUGGGCGCAAGCCUGAUCCAGCCAUGCCGCGUGAGUGAUGAAGGCCCUAGGGUUGUAAAGCUCUUUCACCGGUGAAGAUAAUGACGGUAACCGGAGAAGAAGCCCCGGCUAACUUCGUGCCAGCAGCCGCGGUAAUACGAAGGGGGCUAGCGUUGUUCGGAUUUACUGGGCGUAAAGCGCACGUAGGCGGACUAUUAAGUCAGGGGUGAAAUCCCGGGGCUCAACCCCGGAACUGCCUUUGAUACUGGUAGUCUUGAGUUCGAGAGAGGUGAGUGGAAUUCCGAGUGUAGAGGUGAAAUUCGUAGAUAUUCGGAGGAACACCAGUGGCGAAGGCGGCUCACUGGCUCGAUACUGACGCUGAGGUGCGAAAGCGUGGGGAGCAAACAGGAUUAGAAACCCUGGUAGUCC
RNAcentral lists this ribosomal RNA (449 nucleotides) under uncultured organism. Its description in RNAcentral is "partial 16S ribosomal RNA". It matches the Rfam family "Bacterial small subunit ribosomal RNA", at positions 330 to 796 of the family's 1533-position model. The record is from RNAcentral.